GAUUUCUGGUUUGAUGUACCUGUCCCGCCUCGGUAACGGGGUCGAGUGACGGAGUAUGUCUGCCAUCCUUCUAGAGAAUAUAAACUAUCCUUUACUGGACUGGUUUAUAUCAUCUAGAUCUUUUACUUUGAAAAAAUUAGAGUGUUUCAAGCAGGCGUUUUGCUAUGAAUACAUUAGCAUGGAAUAAUAAUAUAGGACUUUGAUUCUAUUUUGUUGGUUUCUAGGAUUGAAGUAAUGAUUGAUAGGGAUAGUUGGGGGUGCUAGUAUUCCGCGGCCAGAGGUGAAAUUCUUGGAUUCGCGGAAGACUAACUACUGCGAAAGCAUU
Molecule: ribosomal RNA, 325 nt
Filed under: Allapsidae sp.
Lineage: Eukaryota; Cercozoa; Glissomonadida; Viridiraptoridae
Description: SSU rRNA
Rfam family: Eukaryotic small subunit ribosomal RNA
Source: RNAcentral